CCGGAGGUAGGGUCCAGCGGCU
This 22-nucleotide small nuclear RNA is filed under the name Arabidopsis thaliana (thale cress). RNAcentral describes it as "snRNA_11707". Lineage: Eukaryota; Viridiplantae; Streptophyta; Magnoliopsida; Brassicales; Brassicaceae. The record is from RNAcentral.